Molecule: long non-coding RNA, 160 nt
Organism: Etheostoma cragini (Arkansas darter)
Lineage: Eukaryota; Metazoa; Chordata; Actinopteri; Perciformes; Percidae
Exons: 3
Source: RefSeq, a predicted model, not a curated record
UAUGUUUUUUAUUGAAAGAGCUUGGGUCUCAUUUAUAAAUGUGGCGUACGCACAAAACGAAGCUGAAAAUGUGCGUAGGCCACCUCCCACGCAAAGGUUGUGAUUGAUAAAAAAAAUGCGUACGCACAUUUUGGGGACAAUGGGAAUUGGCGACGCAGAU